CGCGCGGAUUAUAUUUCGCGCAGUACUAAAAUUUGCACACCCAGCGCUACACGAAUUCUCAAGUACUGCGCGAAUUUAAUUAAUACAUGAACGUAAGAUAUAUUGUCGACAUUUGGCUAAAACUAUCGUAAGGAAUUAGGAGAUUUUGUUUAGCUUGUCCUUGUUUAUAUUCCACUAUAUUGUAUAAAUCGCUUGGUCCAAAUUUUGGGGUUUUCGAGUCGUUUAAUACAAAAAGAAAAACAUUAAUUCAACACGUAAGAAAGUGCAGAGCGCGACA
Paramuricea clavata is the source of this 277-nucleotide non-coding RNA. The record is from the annotation of a GenBank genome assembly. Lineage: Eukaryota; Metazoa; Cnidaria; Anthozoa; Malacalcyonacea; Plexauridae.